CUACGGGUCGCUGCAGUGGGGAAUAUUGGACAAUGGGGGAAACCCUGAUCCAGCAAUGCCGCGUGUGUGAAGAAGGCCUGCGGGUUGUAAAGCACUUUCGGUUGGGAGGACUGCUUCUAGCACUAAUAUUGUUGGAAGUUGACGUUACCUUCAGAAGAAGCACCGGCUAACUCCGUGCCAGCAGCCGCGGUAAUACGGAGGGUACAAGCGUUAAUCGGAAUUACUGGGCGUAAAGCGCGCGUAGGCGGCUAGAUCAGUCGGGUGUGAAAGCCCCGGGCUUAACCUGGGAACUGCAUCCGAUACUGGCUAGCUUGAGUACAGGAGAGGAGAGUGGAAUUCCACAUGUAGCGGUGAAAUGCGUAGAUAUGUGGAGGAACACCAAUGGCGAAGGCAGCUCUCUGGCCUGAUACUGACGCUGAGGUGCGAAAGCGUGGGGAGCAAACAGGAUUAGAUACCCGAGUAGUC
RNAcentral lists this ribosomal RNA (465 nucleotides) under uncultured bacterium. Its description in RNAcentral is "partial 16S ribosomal RNA". It matches the Rfam family "Bacterial small subunit ribosomal RNA", at positions 339 to 795 of the family's 1533-position model. The record is from RNAcentral.